Picea glauca (white spruce) is the source of this 124-nucleotide non-coding RNA. NCBI's taxonomy places the organism in Eukaryota, Viridiplantae, Streptophyta, Pinopsida, Pinales, Pinaceae. The record is from Rfam.
UCAUAUGUAUAUGCCUACAAAAUUAAUGCAUUGGAUACCAUUAGAACUCCAUAGUUAAGAGCUCUUGGGAUAGAGUAGUAUUGGGAUGGGUGACCUCUUAGGAAGCCCUAGUGUUUUACAUGCC